GAAAGCCUGACGGAGCGACGCCGCGUGAACGAAGAAGGCCGUGAGGUUGUAAAGUUCUUUUCGGGAGGGGGAAUGACCGUGGCAGGGAAUGGCCGCGGGAUGACGUGAAUCCCGGAAUAAGCCCCGGCUAACUACGUGCCAGCAGCCGCGGUAACACGUAGGGGGCGAGCGUUGUUCGGAAUCAUUGGGCGUAAAGGGCGUGCAGGCGGCACUGCAAGUCCGGCGUGAAAGACCCCGGCCCAACCGGGGGGGUGCGCUGGAAACUGCGGUGCUUGAGUACAGGAGGGGAUGCCGGAAUUCCAGGUGUAGGGGUGAAAUCUGUAGAUAUCUGGAAGAACACCGAUGGCGAAGGCAGGCAUCUGGCCAUGUACUGACGCUGAGACGCGAAGGUGCGGGGAGCAAACAGGUUUAGAUACCCUGGUAGUCC
RNAcentral lists this ribosomal RNA (427 nucleotides) under uncultured bacterium. Its description in RNAcentral is "bacterial SSU rRNA". It matches the Rfam family "Bacterial small subunit ribosomal RNA", at positions 377 to 796 of the family's 1533-position model. The record is from RNAcentral.